ACUUCUCACAGGGCAAGGUACCCUGCCCUCUCUUAAGACUGGAGGGGGAGGAAGAGAGUGUUUCUCAAUGGCCUGGAGCUUUGCAGUAGGGCUGGCUGGCCAGCCAGUGAGAUCAAGAGACCUGCUGCUGUCAUCCCAGGGCUGUGGAUUACAGACAGAGCUCUGCAUUCCAAAGUGGUAUGUGGAAGGAGAAGGAGGAGGAGAAGAGUGGGAUUGAGAAGAGAAACCAGACAUGUUGUCACUAUUAGUGCCAUAGUAAAUCAAAGUGUCUCAGAACAGACUUUCAAUUAGAAAUCAAAAUAGAGCUCAAACCUGUUCCUCCCAUAACCAGCUCUGUAUCGACAUCAAUAUAAUUGUGUGCGCCACAAGCAACCCCAGCAUUUCUAGGGCCUUGCAACAAGUGCAAACUUGGGGAUCCUACCUCAAACCCACUGCAUCAGAGAGCUGGCCCUCCUGCUGACUCUGCUGCACACCACAGCACAGCUUGAGAGCCAUCUUCACAUAUUCCAACUGGAUGGAAGACAACGAGCUCAGGAGAGUAAGGGGUAGGAGCUGAUAUUUCAUGGAACUUCUACAGCAUCCUGGUUACCUUCUUAAAAAACCUAGUCUGUCCAGCCCUUAAGGCCACAGGUUCAUCCUAUGUGAUGCAGAUCUCUCCUAAAACACACAUGAAGCACAGCAAAAGAUGUUAUUCAGAUGUUAGAGAGCGUGCAUGGUGUGAAGGAAGCCCUCUGUGGGUUUGAACCCCAGCACCACAUAAAACCUGUAUGGUGGCCAGUGCUGGAGAAAUGGAGAUGUGGAGAUGGAAGACCAGACGAUCAAGGUCGGCUACAUAUAAAUGUGAAUGGAUUAAGGAAAGUCGAGACCUGCUCCACCUGUGGAUGGAUUAGAAUGUGUCGAGACCCACCCCAUGACAUUAGCAGUCACUGUCAGAGCACCCUUCAUCACAAUGGCGACAAACGGAAAUGUGAGCCUCCCUGUAUGGAAGCAGGACAACCAUGAUGACUCAGAGCAGACCUUCAUGAUUAGGUUUGUUUUCCUUCUAUCGUGGCACAAGGUACAACAAGCUCAUGAGACCAGAAGAUCAUCAAGUCUUCAUGAGACUUGCCCAGAGAUUCUAUAAGAGCUUUCCCCCAAGCAGGAUGCUGGAGGCAUUAAACAAACUGUAAGCUUCAAUGGUGUUACCGGAAACAGGAAUUCAAAACAAAGGCACCAAGAGAUCUUGAGGUUCAAGGACAAACCAUGGCAACCAGAAUCUAUGAAGGACCCAAAGGACAAAUUCUUCCUUUGUGACUCUAGCUCCACAAAGGAAAACAAAGUAACUGCAGUGUCUGUACUGGAAACUUGAGUAGUCCAGGGCUGGAGGCAAUGAUCUGUUGGCAUGAGAUCGUGUAUUCAACGACAGGAUUCUUUCUUCAUUGAGAAAUGGACAAUGACAUCAACUAUUUGGUUCAUCUAGAUACAUGGCAGCAAGCUGAGCCUUUCCCUUGAAAUCUUUCCCAAAUCCUUUCAAACUGAUUUGUAUUGUAUCAACAAACAUUCUAACAAUAGGCCAAGUUAGCAAGGCAACUUAAAAGAAAACAAAUAAGAAAGCACAUCGACCUUUCCAUUAGCUACAUAGCUUUGUUGACAUUCCUCUUGAUUUUAGGAGGAAUGUUCAUAAUUUACAUAUUAGCUCAAGUUUACAAUGAACGAAGGGGAAGAGAAUGAAAUCAUGUCUCAUGACAGUUUGGGUUUUAAAGCAAGUACCCUAAAUAAUUGUGAGUAUCAAUAUCAUCUGAAAAUCUUAAUUAUCAAUUACUUUAAAAUCAUGUUUCCUAGUGUGUCUGUGUGGUUGCCUAUGUAUGUGUGUAUUACUAUCUCUUUAUAUGGUCUGUGGCUGAGAGAGAAUUGAAUUCCUUAUAUUUUUUGCUACAUCUACUAAAAAAGUAUAAAAGAGAAUACCAUAAAAUUGUAUGUAUAUGCAUAUAUACAUAUAUAUGUAUAUGUGUAUAUUUAUAUAUUUGUUUAUAAUACUUUCUGCUUUAAUAGCUCUAAAACUAUGUGGUCAGAGAAUCUGGCUUUAUUGUGAAUGAAUCAUACAUUUAGAACCAACACUGAUUCAGAGUGAAAUGACUGUGGAAGAUUAUUUUAAUUUUUCAUGUUGAACUUCAUAUUCCAGAAGUUCUGGGCUGAUUCCCAACUUAGUCUGACUCAAGCCACAUUUUCCUUCCACAGGAUGUGAGGAGGUGGUAGGUCUGAAGGCAUAAACAGCUCUAAUGCAUUACUCUACCUAGUAUUCCAGGCCAUAGGCUAAGUUUUCCAGACUACAGAGUGAGGAUUAGCCCUUGAAUUCCCAUAGUGCUUUCUGAUAACUGAGAAAAGAACCAUAGGAUAGAUGGAUAUGAUCAUUACCUUGUGCACACAGUCAUAUUAUCCUUGAGAGUCUACUUUCAUGCCUAUGGUUUUAUCCACUUGCUCCUUCUACAGUAAGGGUGUCUCUAAGCUUUUAUGAGCAGUGGGAAGGGUGCUGGAAAUAUGUACAAACAUAGAUUAGGAAGCUAAGAGUCCUUGGGACAGGUUGCAGUUUGAACUAAAGAGAAUCUACAAGAGAGCUGCAUUAUGAUCUAACCAGACUGUGACUAGAGCAUGACCUUAUGAAUUUCAUGUGUCAUUGGCCUUAACACCCAGCCCUUCAAAAUACGAUAUAAUUGAGACAGGACCUUAAAAGAUGUAAUCAUUGCUAAAUUAAAAUUUAUCGGUGGGCAUUAGACCAAUUUGACAAAUGUGUGGUACAGAGAAAACGACCAUGCAAGGGUAUAGUAAGGAUCCAUCUGCAUACCAAUGUGAGAGACUUCGGGUGAAACCAAGCGUCCCCCCCCCCCAGCCUUGAGUUUCCAACUUCCAAAGGAGAAAGACAAUGAUUUUAUUUGUUUAAAGUGCCCUGACUGUGUUCUUUGCUCCUCAGCCCUAUCAAAUUAACACCAUAGGAUGGUAUAGAAAGCUGAGUUUUGAAGCCCUCAAAUCUGGCUAUGAUUUACAACAGUAUUGUAACCUUGAGGAAAUUGGUCAAACUCUCCGAACUUCAGUCUCCUCAUUUGUAAAUUGGGAAUAAAAAUAAUCACCUGUCAGUUUUCUUGAGGAACAAAUUCAUCUAUGCAAUUUGUGUCUGACAUAAAGUGAGCACUCACGUACUGCCCCUUAUGUGAUUUUGUCUUAGGUAAAACUCCAAGUCACAGAACCAUAAUAGAACACUGGGUACAUACCAAGGGAUCGAGACAUGUUCCUUUUGAAAGGCUUCUGAUUGUAGAUGUCGUUUCAGUUUUUCCUGAUGAUCAAAGUUGUAUAUGGGCAGUACUCUUUGUUGGGGAGCAAUGAGAGGUGGGGAGCCUAACAGAAGAAUUGGGUGCUGUUGUGAUGUUUAUUUUCCGUUUGACUCCUUACCGGUUACCACGUGGUGAGUAAGGUGGGAUGGUCUCUCUGAAGUAAAGAAUUAUUGAGAAUUCUGACCCAGAAGUCUUGUUAUAAACUCCUGGUUUAGGUAGGUGAGUGAAGAGAAAACUGAAUCACAGAUUAUAUGCGUCCCUUCCCCCAAGCAUCCAAGCAUAAAAGCCACCAAUAAUCCAAGAAGGGUAACACAUGCCUAUAACCCUAGUAGCUCAAACUCUGUUGCUAGAAUAGUUCCAGGGAGCUGCUAUGACUUAUGGUCCAAGGAUUCCAAAACUCUAGGUUUGAGACCUAUGGCACUAGCCACUAUAGGAGCUGAGGGUCCCAGCAACUAUGACCCAUUCAGGAGCUGUAAUAUUAGCAGGCACCAUCUCCCAUUUUCUGCCAUUGCCAUUUGGAGCCAAAGACUCCAAUAGCUGCUAGGUGCUGUGGCUACUGUGUCGAAAUCUUAGAACACCAAGCUUCGAAACUAAUUGUCUACACCCAUAGCUAUGUGGCAUCUAAAUCCCGGUCUCUACUUCUCAAGACUGGGAGAUGCAAGCUUCCAAGUCUGUUAGUCCAGUUCUU
Arvicola amphibius (Eurasian water vole) is the source of this 3993-nucleotide long non-coding RNA. RefSeq lists it as uncharacterized. The transcript is spliced from 6 exons. The record is from RefSeq and is a predicted model, not a curated record. NCBI's taxonomy places the organism in Eukaryota, Metazoa, Chordata, Mammalia, Rodentia, Cricetidae.